This 1224-nucleotide ribosomal RNA is filed under the name Triticum aestivum (bread wheat). RNAcentral's name for it is "partial small subunit ribosomal RNA". The record is from RNAcentral. Lineage: Eukaryota; Viridiplantae; Streptophyta; Magnoliopsida; Poales; Poaceae.
AUGGCUGGAUAUAUGUCACGAGGACCCCCAAAUGGCUCUAUUUAUGUAUGCAAUCUGCCUCCUGGAACUGAUGAGACCAUGUUGGCUGAAUAUUUUGGCACCAUAGGGUUGCUAAAGGUAUGGGUCUUACCAGAUUUGUCAUUUCUUCUUGUCAUAUCUCAACAGAAGGACAAAAGGACUGGCCAUCCAAAGAUUUGGAUAUACAGGGACAAAGUUACAAAUGAACCAAAGGGUGAUGCAACUGUCACAUAUGAAGAUCCCCAUGCUGCUUCAGCUGCUGUGGAAUGGUUCAAUAAUAAGGAUUUCCAUGGAAGCAUCAUCCAGGUUCACAUAGCUGAGUCAAAAAACAAAGAUACGGUUGAUAACUUCACCAAUGUGAGCGUCGAUGCUGAGAUUGUUGGACAAGAUGAAUUGGAUAAUGGAUCAGGCAGAGGUAGAGGACGUGGUGAUGGUCCAGCAAAAGCUUGGCAGCAAGAUGGAGAUUGGAUGUGUCCAAAUACAAGCUGCGGCAAUGUAAAUUUUGCCUUCCGUGGUGUUUGUAAUCGUUGUGGAGCCUCUCGCCCUGCUGGUGUUAGUGGAUCAGGUGGUGGUGGUGGUAGGGGUAGAGGCCGUGGUAGUGAUGAUGCAAGAGGCAGUCGUGCUGCUGCUGCUGUUGGUGGUCCUCCUGGGCUGUUUGGUCCUAAUGAUUGGCCAUGUACGAUGUGUGGCAAUGUAAACUGGGCAAAGCGGACCAAAUGUAAUGUCUGUAACACCUCUAGGCCAGGUCACAAUGAAGGUGGUGUGAGAGGUGGCCGGGGUGGCGGCUUUAAAGAACUUGAUGAAGAAGAACUGGAAGAAGUACGGAGGCGCCGGAAAGAAGCUGAGGAGGAUGAUGGAGAAAUGUAUGAUGAAUUUGGUAACCUCAAAAAGAAGUUCCGUGCUAAAUCACAUCAAACUGAGAGUGCACCAACUCUUCCUGGGUCUGGACGUGCUGGAUGGGAAGUCGAGCACCGUGGUUCCACUGAGAGAGAAGGCCGAGAGAGGAGCAGAGAUCAGGGCAGGGACGACUACGAUGAAAGGGAAAGCAGGAACAGAGACAGAGGUUCUCAUGGAAGAGAGCGGCGCCGUAGCCGAAGCAGGAGCAGAGACCGCGAGAAGGAAAGGGGGAGGGACAGGGGCAGAGACCGUGGCAACGAGAGAAGCUGGGAGCGCGGCACCGAGCGUGAACGUGAUCGCUACAGAUGA